RNAcentral lists this ribosomal RNA (519 nucleotides) under Staphylococcus equorum. Its description in RNAcentral is "bacterial SSU rRNA". It matches the Rfam family "Bacterial small subunit ribosomal RNA", at positions 1 to 507 of the family's 1533-position model. Lineage: Bacteria; Bacillati; Bacillota; Bacilli; Caryophanales; Staphylococcaceae. The record is from RNAcentral.
UAGAGUUUUGAUCCUGGCUCAGGAUGAACGCUGGCGGCGUGCCUAAUACAUGCAAGUCGAGCGAACGGAUAAGGAGCUUGCUCCUUUGAAGUUAGCGGCGGACGGGUGAGUAACACGUGGGUAACCUACCUAUAAGACUGGAAUAACUUCGGGAAACCGGAGCUAAUGCCGGAUAACAUUUGGAACCGCAUGGUUCUAAAGUAAAAGAUGGUUUUGCUAUCACUUAUAGAUGGACCCGCGCCGUAUUAGCUAGUUGGUAAGGUAACGGCUUACCAAGGCAACGAUACGUAGCCGACCUGAGAGGGUGAUCGGCCACACUGGAACUGAGACACGGUCCAGACUCCUACGGGAGGCAGCAGUAGGGAAUCUUCCGCAAUGGACGAAAGUCUGACGGAGCAACGCCGCGUGAGUGAUGAAGGUUUUCGGAUCGUAAAACUCUGUUAUUAGGGAAGAACAAAUGUGUAAGUAACUGUGCACAUCUUGACGGUACCUAAUCAGAAAGCCACGGNCUAANNAAAG